This 3864-nucleotide unclassified non-coding RNA is filed under the name Neodiprion pinetum (white pine sawfly). Its description in RNAcentral is "inositol hexakisphosphate kinase 1, transcript variant X2". Lineage: Eukaryota; Metazoa; Arthropoda; Insecta; Hymenoptera; Diprionidae. The record is from RNAcentral.
GUUCGACGCGUAGUUUCUACUCAUCAGUCCGCACGACAAAACUGUUCCGUUCAGUGUCGAUUUGUACCCUUGAUGUAAGUUUCCUUUCAACUGCAAACUGCAAUCCAUCCCCCCACUCGUUUUACAGCUGAUGCGAUAACUGUGUUACGGAUCUAAUGCUGCGAAACGAUUUGUUUGGUGUUCCCCAGAUAACGUACAAAAUUUACUUAGUUCGUCUGGUGUGCUCUCCGCGUAUUGAGUCGUGCGGUACCGUCUGGAAUCGUGCGUACAAAGCGAAUAUCGCAGGCAGUACGCUUAUAGAUCCACAUAUUCUCACAUCUUACUGACUGGAAAGAGUGAAAUAAAAAAUUCAGAAGAGGAGGGAGCAAGAUAGAACGAGUUAGUGAUAGCGAGAGAGAGAGAGAGAUAAAAAGAGAGAAUCGAGGAAGGAAGAAAAGAGAAAUAAACCAGCACUGGAUUGGAGAACGAAAAAAAAACAACAAAUAAUAAUAAUAAAUAAAUUAAGUAAAUAAAAACAUCGGCAAAAGUCGAAAUUCAUUCCGGUGAAGUCGAAUAAUCGAAAGUUUGACGUGUACACAUAACCAGUUGCGACGAAGUGGGUGGUUCGUUUUUUAUCAGAGGAGUGUACGCGGGGAUGGUAUACCUGGCGGGUACUUGGGGCAUGGGAGAGACUGAACCACAGUGCCAUAGCACCACCACUUCCCCAGUAACAGCAUCAUUCCUCCAAGAUCACGAUGAAGAAGUCGCUCUCCAUCCCCUCAAUAAUCAGGUCGGCGGUCAUACCAGACUGUUGCUGCUUAACCAGAAUACCAUCUGCAAGCCAUUGAACUAUCGAGAGCUCGAGUUCUAUCAAAACAUUCCACAAGAUAUACAAAUGUUUGUCCCCAAAUUCAAAGGUGUAAUGCAGGCUUCCAGUAGCAGCGAGGUUUCACUAGACAAACGUUACAGUCCAAGCUUCAGAGAUCAAGCAGAAACGACCAAUACUCGCCAGGGAAAAGGUUCGACAAAACGAAAGCGUGACGAUGUUCUCAGGAUGAAAAUUCACCGCAACAAUUGCACAGUUGACGUCUUGAAGCCUGAAACUCACUUGGAAAGCACACCGAAUACACAACAUUUUCUAAUGCUGGAGAAUAUAACAUCUCGAUACACGCAUCCAUGUAUAUUGGAUUUGAAAAUGGGGACCAGACAGUACAGUGAUGAUGCGUCAGCUGAGAAACGUAGCAAGCAAAUUGCCAAGUGUGCUGCCAGUACCUCUGCUUCUUUAGGAGUUCGUCUGUGCGGAAUGCAGGUCUACCAAGCAGAUUCAGAUCAUUAUGUUAAAAGAGACAAAUAUUGGGGCAGAGAACUCAAUGAAGAAGGUUUCAAAGCAGCUCUAUACCGCUUCUUCCACAAUGGUUUUGGUUUACGAACAUUGGCCAUUCAAAGAGUGAUAGCACGUCUGGAACUUUUACGUCGCGCAAUCGAAAGACAAAGCAGCUACAGAUUUUAUUCCUGCUCACUUCUUGUCGUCUACGAGGGGUAUCAAAUAGAUGGCUUUUCAGUGUUAAGACACACCCCGACACUUCGAGUUGAAGAAGAAUCGACAGACUUAAAUUUCAUGGAAAAUAUUGCUCAUGGUUCUGAAACAUGUUAUGACGCAGACACAAGUAACAAUUCAAACGAUUACAAUCUUAGCAGUCAUGAAGAAGUUAGCCAAGCCACACUCCACAGGGGUUUUGGAGAGGCAGCUGCACGAGGGGCCAAAAAUGCUAGUGGCUUUUAUCCAAUUAAUGAGGAAACUGUGUUCAUGGAUUCACCAACAAACAUGGUCAGCACUGUUGUUCAGAGCUCGCAAUUUGACAAUUGGAUGAUGUACAGCAGCAGUAGUGGGGAUGAAUUUUGUUGCGGGCAACACACAGCUGAUAGUUCUGAAGACACUAGUUCGGAUCUAGAAAUGGAAAGUACAGGAUGUGUUUUAAAGCGUAACAGACCCAGGCAACAUUUGCGAUUAUACGAAAACACUAAGCAUGUCGAAACAGAAGAUGAAUGUUCGAGUAUUUCUAAAAGAUUACGUGUUAAAACUGACGAGGAAAAACAGUCAGAAAGUGAAGAUUCCCUCGUCGACGUAAGAAUGAUCGACUUUGCCAAUAUGUCGUUUAACCACUCUGGAAGUUCUGUGGGGAGUUCAAAUUCAAAUUCUACGAUUCAUCAGGGUCCAGAUUGUGGCUUUUUGACUGGCCUAGAUAGCCUGAAACGGCUAUUAUUAGAGAUACUAACUGAAGGUUAAAAUUUGUGUAAUGUUAGAUAAGCAGACAAUUUAAAUAGCGAAACAACAUUUUAACCCAAAAUGACAAAUAACUAGACACUUACGUGGUGAAAAUGAUUUAUGCAUUAUACAACUCGAACACGUUAUUUAUAUAUAUAUAUAUAUGUAUGCUUUUAAAUCAAAUAACAGAAGUGAAUGGCGUUAUAUGGAGAGACAGCGAUAAGAGAAAUAAACUCGGAGCGGAAUGUACAAAUCUCGAGUUCAUCUCAAAUUUCUCGUUAAUAACAAGUGUAUAGAAUUCAAGGGGUGGGCGCUCGGUAACCAAAACGGUCAAUAUAACAAACAUUAAAUAUGUACAUAAAUUCAUUACAAUAUAUUUCUAAGUCUCGAUCAAAUACCCGGUGAAACUUGAGACAUUCGUUAGGAACAGUGUUAUGAACACUGAUGAUCAUCGUAUUGAUCAUAAAACAAAAAUAUAUAGUAUUUUACCCCUGUAUGAGCAUACUGUCCAAUUUAAUGGAGUGCUUUGUUCCCAAGGGAUACAGUGGUUACUAAAGUAAUAAAAUAUGAUUUUUAAUUAUAUAACAUUAAUAUUAGAAGAAUAUAAGUUAUAAUCGUGUAAAUAAUGUAAAAAUAAUAUUGCAUUGAAAGAAGUACAUAGUAUAUAUGUUACACCUUGUAUUUUAGUUGCACCCCAAAAGUAUCCACCAUCUCGGUCAAUGUAUUACAAUUAAUAAAGCUCCAUCUAAUUUUCUAGAAUUUUCUAAAUUCUUAUACCUUUCUAGGGAGCGCGGCCGAAAAGGGGUGAGUGUUUCUCUACAAAGAGAAAUCGAUUUCUCAUUAGAGAAGGCAAUGAUUCCGUAUCAUAUAACAAGUAUUAUCAAUACGCGUAUUUAAAUGUGUGCGAACUUAUCCUUACUUACCGAUUCGUGCAGGAGUUUCAUACUGACGGAUGAUAACUUAUUGAACUGAUAGCCGCAUAAUUACAUAUAACACAGUUGCUCUAUCAACCAACUCUUCACAUAUGAGUGGAUAUUUAUGAUCUACGCAGUAACUUCUACUAAGAGACAAUAACCGUCAUCAUCAAUUGAAAAUGCGCACCUAACAUAUUAUCAGGUAAACACCAUCAUAAUUAUCCGCUCAUCUAACAUUUUGCUGUGAGUCAUAAUUCAUAUUUACCGUUGGUUAUGAUUCGGUUUUUUUACAUUGAAAAUAAUGGAAUCACUUUUAAAGACUGACAAUUCUAUUGCUAACGUCUAAAAAAAAUAAACUAGUGGGUUUUGGAUUAAAAUAGUUGAAAAUAAGUCAACACUUAAUAAAUAAUGAACAUCUGUUAUAUAUUUUGAAAUCUGAUACAGUGUAUAAAUUAUUAUUUUUGAUUACGCAUACUGAAAAUAGAACUCGAGUGUUAUGUGGUAAUCAAAAUAAUUAACAAUCGAGCCGGUAAUUUGUAAUUCCACAAAACAAUCGUUUGGCUUUCUCUUACAAUCCCUGAAAUGCCAAUCGUCAUUAUAUCUCUUUUCUAUGUCAAGUGCCCAGUACCAAACAUAGUAGUACGUAAAAUUCAACCUUGCAAUAUUAUACAUAAUCUCACGUAUAAUAAAAUACUUUAUUUUAUU